RNAcentral lists this ribosomal RNA (233 nucleotides) under uncultured Lactobacillus sp. RNAcentral describes it as "partial 16S ribosomal RNA". It matches the Rfam family "Bacterial small subunit ribosomal RNA", at positions 129 to 356 of the family's 1533-position model. The record is from RNAcentral. Lineage: Bacteria; Bacillati; Bacillota; Bacilli; Lactobacillales; Lactobacillaceae.
CCCAAGAGAUCGGGAUAACACCUGGAAACAGAUGCUAAUACCGGAUAAUAACAGAUGAUGCCUAUCAACUGUUUAAAAGAUGGUUCUGCUAUCACUCUUGGAUGGACCUGCGGUGCAUUAGCUAGUUGGUAGGGUAACGGCCUACCAAGGCGAUGAUGCAUAGCCGAGUUGAGAGACUGAUCGGCCACAUUGGGACUGAGACACGGCCCAAACUCCUACGGGAGGCAGCAGCG